AACGAACGCUGGCGGCAGGCCUCAUACAUGCAAGUCGAGCGAUUAAGACUCCUUCGGGAGUGUAUAAAGCGGCGAACGGGUGAGUAACAGGUGGAUGAUCUACCUUCCGGUGGGGGAUAACGGCUGGAAACGGCCGCUAAUACCGCAUUCGGUUAAUACGCUGCGGCGUAUUAAAGAAAGGCGCUUCAAAGCGCCGCCGGGAGAUGAGUCCGCCCCCCAUUAGCUAGUUGGUGAGAUAACAGCUCACCAAGGCAACGAUGGGUAGCCGAACUGAGAGGUUGAUCGGCCACACUGGAACUGAGACACGGUCCAGACACCUACGGGUGGCAGCAGUAGGGAAUAUUGGGCAAUGGGCGAAAGCCUGACCCAGCCAUGCCGCGUGAGUGAUGAAGGUCCUAGAGAUUGUAAAACUCUUUUCUGAGGAAGAAUAAAUAGGGAAGGAAAUGUCCUUAUUUUGACGGUACCUCAGGAAUAAGGAACGGCUAACUCCGUGCCAGCAGCCGCGGUAAACACG
This 514-nucleotide ribosomal RNA is filed under the name uncultured bacterium. Its description in RNAcentral is "bacterial SSU rRNA". It matches the Rfam family "Bacterial small subunit ribosomal RNA", at positions 29 to 527 of the family's 1533-position model. The record is from RNAcentral.